This is a long non-coding RNA of Haliotis rubra (blacklip abalone), 456 nucleotides long. RefSeq lists it as uncharacterized. NCBI's taxonomy places the organism in Eukaryota, Metazoa, Mollusca, Gastropoda, Lepetellida, Haliotidae. The record is from RefSeq and is a predicted model, not a curated record. The transcript has 3 exons.
GAGAUGGAGGCAUAUCUCUGUUGCCAAGGGCGACAUCAUAUAUAUGUACAGCUGAUGAUUCUGUCGGGACCAGAUGCGAAGUAAACCUGACAUAAGUCAUAUGCCACUGAGGGAGCCCACCUAACCACCUACUGUUCCAAAUCUUAAACCAGCGUUGUUUGACAAAUGGGUUGUGCCUUGUGUCCUACAACGUAAUAGAUCACAUAUUGGCAGAUAGAUCAGUUUAAGCCAUGGCGAGCAAGGAGGAGAGUGAUGCAGGAGUUCCCAUGACAGAGGUGCAUUGUCAAUGAGGAGACAGAAGUGAGCCCACACCACAGAGAGAAUCAUGGAGCAGACAUCUGGACUACAUGCUGACAGUUGUUGGCUACUGUGUUGCAUUAGGCAACAUACUGAGAUUUCCCUAUAUCUGCAACAGAAACGGUGGAGGAGCUUUCCUCAUCCCCUUCAUCUUGCUCC